AUACGGAGGGUGCGAGCGUUAAUCGGAAUUACUGGGCGUAAAGCGCGCGUAGGCGGCUACGUAAGUCGGAUGUGAAAGCCCCGGGCUCAACCUGGGAAUUGCAUCCGAAACUGCGUGACUAGAGUAUGUGAGAGGGAAGGGGAAUUCCGGGUGUAGCGGUGAAAUGCGUAGAUAUCCGGAGGAACACCAGUGGCGAAGGCGCCUUCCUGGCACAAUACUGACGCUGAGGUGCGAAAGCGUGGGGAGCGAACAGGAUUAGAUACCCCGGUAGUCC
Molecule: ribosomal RNA, 274 nt
Filed under: uncultured bacterium
Lineage: Bacteria
Description: partial 16S ribosomal RNA
Rfam family: Bacterial small subunit ribosomal RNA
Source: RNAcentral